RNAcentral lists this non-coding RNA (30 nucleotides) under Rattus norvegicus (Norway rat). The record is from RNAcentral. Lineage: Eukaryota; Metazoa; Chordata; Mammalia; Rodentia; Muridae.
UCCCUCUUUACAAUGUUCUUGUGUGCCAUU